AAGUCAUAACAAGGUUUCUGUAGGUGAACCUGCAGAAGGAUCAUUAAAGAUUUUACUAGGCUUCGGCCAGAGAUGUACAGCCAUGAUCGUUUCGACGGUGCAUGGUACGGGUGCUCUGUAUCGCUAACACGGUACGGAGGGCCCUUCUUUAAUUUCCACACCAAGCUACGGAGAGCGUGACUUAUGUCUGCUUGUCCGGAAGGGAUGGAUGGUUUCGACCAUCUUUCCCGACCCAUUUCCAAACACUUAACUAUUUUGAAUGUUCAACCUAUUGUCUUCGGACAUGAAUAAUAUACAACUUUUGACAACGGAUCUCUUGGUUCUCC
Molecule: unclassified non-coding RNA, 326 nt
Filed under: fungal sp.
Lineage: Eukaryota; Fungi
Description: partial internal transcribed spacer region
Rfam family: Eukaryotic small subunit ribosomal RNA (bases 1-46)
Source: RNAcentral